Non-coding RNA from Ictidomys tridecemlineatus (thirteen-lined ground squirrel), 73 nucleotides. Lineage: Eukaryota; Metazoa; Chordata; Mammalia; Rodentia; Sciuridae. The record is from Rfam.
GGGGAUAUAACUCAGUUGGUAGAGUGCUUGCCUCCUAUGUAUGAGGCCCUGGGUUCAAUCCCCAGCACUACCA